CGCGGCCGGAGCGCGCGGCAUUUGCACUUGCGGUCCCCAUGCCGGGCGGUGAUGUCACCGCGCGAGCGAGGCUCCUAAGACGAGGUGGGGCUAGUGUCACGCAAAGGCUCCGCCCCCGGAGAGCCCCUCGUUUCUCCCGAGCCACGGCCAAGCAGCGGGCUUAAUUCCCCCACUCGUGCAUGGGGACCAGGGCGCGAACGAACAAAGGGGAACUCCCGAGUUGUUUUCCAACCAUCGCAAGCUGUUGGCCUGCAGAAGAACUGCAAGGAGUGUUGCGUACUUUUCUCGCAGUGCUUAUUGUCCCUCGCUUUAUUUAUUCAAGCACCACGUGUGUUUUAGCCUCCCCCCCACCCCCCAACGCUUUGGCACCAUGCUCCUUGGUGCAAUUCAGACCUGCCUCCAUUAAGGGCAGACACAUUCUCUCUGCAGCGCAUUUUGGACAAUGAGAGCAAAAUCAAUUACGUUCAAGCUUCCCAAUGACCGCUGUAGCUCUAACUGUAAACAGUUUUCCAAGAAUUAUGGCGGGAGUGAUUAGACUUACCCCAUUCAGUACUUCUCUUUCAAUUGUUACAGUUUAGCAAUCAAUUUCCCUUUUUGUUUCUACCGCUGCAUAAACUAGGUACUUUGAAUUCAGCAAUGCUUCAGGUAUCCUAUAGUCUUAGAACAAAUCUACAAUACCACAUUAGGUCAACUUAAAUUAUGUCAACAUACAGCCUGCACGUUAAUUGAAUCAGUUUUACACACCCACUCUAUAUUUCAGCUUUAGGCCCCCCAUUUCAGAUUUUGGUGGGAGGGGAACCUGUGCCAUGAUGGCAGGGGAGAGAAUGAAAAAUGAUCAACUACAGCAUAGUGCUCCAUAAAGGUGACAUUAGAGGACCAUGUUGCUGCCCUGCAAAUGUCAUAAAAUAGGACUCCUCUUAGGCCGUAGCAGACGACACCGCUCUGGUAGAAUGGGCCUUAGGAAGAUACAGUAAAGGUCCUGAAAUUGCUUCAGGUCGUCUGAUGGAGAUAUGUCGCCUGGGAAUACCGCCUCAUCCGGUGAUAAAGAGGAACAGUCAGAGAAGUCUCCGGCUUAGGGUCUUCUGUUUCAGACAGCUGCCCCUCUUCUCGUUUGGAUUGGUCAUGCUGAAUGGUUGGACUCUUCGAUGGAGGAGAUGGAGAUAAACUAAAGAUCAUUCUCUGAAAGAGAAACUAGAAGAACAAAGGGAGCUCCGACCGCGACCAGAGGCGGUUGAGAGGAACUGAGCGGUUGCUGGACUCUGUGUGGGUGAUCAAAGACGCGAACGGCACUCCAGAGAAGCCGCACGUACACGGUCCAGCGGAGCACGGCUAUGACAGCUCUCCUAGCCACGGCGCUGGGACAGGACCUGACACCAGGAGUGGAGCACCCACGGAGACCACUCGAAGAACAACUGUAAAAUAAAGCGGACACAGACUCCGAAGCAGGGAAGUGGGUGGGAAGUGGAGCAUCUAUGGGGACCAUCUCAAGGAACGACAGUUACUGCACCAAGGUGAGUAACUUCGCUUUCUUCGAGGAGUCCCCAUGGGUGCUCCACUGUAGGUGUCUGCACAGCAGUGUCCCCCUCCCCGCAUAUCAUCGAGGUAGGUGGGAUUCAGAGCCUAUCGAUUGGCCAAUGAAAGAACUGCAGCUGUUACAGAUUUAUCUGACAGCCAUCUGUGCUGUAAAGCAUAAUGUUCUGCGAGGGUGUGAUAGGAUACCCACAUGGCUGACCUACAGAUGUCUGCAAGGGGAACCCCUCUAAGAAAGGCAGUGGAAGUUGAAAUGGCCAUUGUAGAGUGAGCUCUAGGGCGCUCGGGGAGCAGUAUUCCCUGACUAGCAUAGCAGUGGGUUAAGCUUGACACGAUUAAGUUAGCUACUCUUUAGACAGAAAUAGACUGACCCUUGGAGCAUUCAGCUAGGGACAGGAGAAGUCUGUCUGUCUUUCAAAAUGGCUUGGUGCGGUCAAUGUAAAAGGUUAGAGCUCUAUGUACAUCUAGUGUGUGGAGAGCGGCUUCCUUAGCGGAUGCGUGUGGUUUAGGGUAGUAUGCAGGUACUACUAUAGUCUCGUUAACAUGAAAUUCAGAACAGACCCUGGGUAUGAAGGCUGGGUGGUCUCUGAGGACAACACCGUCCAUCUGGAAGAUGGUGUACAGUGGUACCGCCAUCAACACCGAGAGCUCACUGACUCUACACGCUGAGGUGAUCGCAAGCAGGAAUACCAACUUUUGGGUCAGGAGCUGUAGUGGUAUUGUGGCCAACGGUUGAAAUGGUGGGGCCUAAGGGUCUGCAGUACCAAGUCCAAAUCCCAAGCAGAGGUGGGGUGCGCAAGGGCGGGUUCAAAUUAGUUAGGCCCUUGAUGAAUUUCUUUAUGAGGGGAUGUGCAAAUAUGGAAAAUCCCUCUGUUGGUUGUCGGAAAGCCGCUAUUUCCACAAGAUGUACUUUGAGUGAUGCUAACACGAGCCCCGUUUGUUGAAGGACCAUUACGUAGUCGAGAAUGGUAUGAAUAGGAGCAAGUGUUGGGUCAAUGUGGUGGUCUGAGCACAAAGCUGUAAACCUUAACUCAGUGGUACCCAACCUUUCGGGGCUGCCGGACGCCCGGGAGCAGGGCCAUGAACGU
Molecule: non-coding RNA, 2618 nt
Organism: Pelodiscus sinensis (Chinese soft-shelled turtle)
Lineage: Eukaryota; Metazoa; Chordata; Testudines; Trionychidae
Source: RefSeq, a predicted model, not a curated record